Molecule: long non-coding RNA, 2135 nt
Filed under: Olea europaea subsp. europaea
Lineage: Eukaryota; Viridiplantae; Streptophyta; Magnoliopsida; Lamiales; Oleaceae
Source: RNAcentral
AAAGCACAGUCGACGUCUUUCCUCUUCCUGCGAUUUUUUCCUGCUCUCUCCAAUUGCCGUUCUCUCCCAAAUUACCACCCUUCAAUCGCCCAUCAACCAUUCAAUCAGCCAUCAGCCGUGAGCCCACUAAUAUACUUGCUUGAAUGUUGCUCUAAUUGAAUUCCAAAAUCCUGUGCUCUUCCUCCCUCUCCAAUUGUGGUUCUCUUUAUUCAGAGAAGGCGAUUGUAAUUCUUUUGUUGUUGAUGACUUCUAGUCCCGAUUCUGCAUCUGUUUUCAGUUUCUGUUUGAAUUUCCUCAAUUAAUUGGUAUUGGUUCCACUUUUUAACAAGCUUCAACUAAGGUAUUCUGUCUCUUACUUUCGAUUGAAUGACUUGUGUGAAUAAUGAAUACACUUAAUUACAUGAUUAUCAUUAUAGAUUGCAGGAAGUUCGUUUAUAUAUCUAGCAUGAAAAAUUGAAACAAUUGAAUUUUCAGAGGGAGAAAGAGAAAAGCCUCCAUUUAGCCCUGGUGGCACCACAUAGGACGUCGUAUAGUCACGUGUUCUUGUGGAGAAUAUAAUUUUUACGAUUUGAUAUUACCGAAUUGGUAUCAAAUUAAAUUAACCUAAAAUUGAAAUUCUUUUACAGAAUCCCUUUUUCAUUUUUCAACUCCCGUGAACCAAUUUUCCAUUAACUGUAGGUUUGAUUCCUGGUGAGCCGGAAAAUUUUUUUCUUUCCGGCGGCUGUUUGGAAAUGGGCUCACUGGAAAAUACGAAUUGGUUGUAUGACUAUGAGGUUGAGGAUAUCCCGAUCCCGUAGGGAAUUUCUUCGCUCCACCAGAUGGGUUUUCUUGGUCAAUUCAAGCUUCGAAUGGUUCAAAUAAUGUGAGGUAGCAGUUGGAAUGUAUUUGUUAUAAUUCUUCUUGUAUUCGCAUGUGUUGUAUCUCCUUAUAAGGUUGUGAACUUCCUUCUUUUUCCAUUUUGAUGGGAUAUUUUUGGGGCAUUUGUUUUUGUAAUUUGAUAUGAUACUUACCCAAUUAGUUAAAGUUCUUGAUUUAGUUGUUUAAUGUUGCAAAUUCGAGCCAAUUAGUUGAAGUUAGAGUCUUUUGGGUUUUUUGGCUUUUGUGUUUUGGGAGAUUUCUUCUUGAAUUUCAUAUUUUGUGUGAAUAUUGAAUACACUAAUCAAGAUGGACUAUAAAUUAUUAGAAUGUUGAUUAGUUCUGUACUUGAUUUAGUAUUUCCCCAAUAAAUCCAAAUAUGAAAUAUUAGGACUAAAUGAAAAACCAUCAAGGUCUUUGAUAGGUUUCUGUUGAUUAGAUGCUAGAAAACUAAAUUGAAUAAGGAAACAAAGAUAUUGGGGUGUAAUACAUUGCACUAAAUAUAAUGAAUGAAAUAUCAGAUGACAAUUAUAAAUGAAACGUGUAUGUACUUUAUUCAAUGAUACUCAAUGAAAGAGUGUAUUCAAAUCCCUGCAUUUAUGAAAUUUGUAAAUACCAAUAGGACUUUCUGGAAUGAUGCAGCUUACAGCUCUGCUGUUUGAUUCCUUUCAGUUUUAGCAACACGUUUCUUUUUCUCAGCCCUUUGAUUCCCUUUGUGCUUAUAUGUUUGAUAAAUUGGAGGUCUAUCAGUUUUCAAAUGGCUUCUCGCUUUCAAUAACUCCCUGAUCAGUGGCAAUAUCAGUACUCAAUCCAGUAUCUUGAGAAUGAGUGAUCAAAGUAUUGUUGAGCUCCAGUUUACACUUCUUUUUGAGUUUUGAUCUUCCUUUGGUGGAAAUGCUUCUAAAAUUGAUUAAUAUCUCACUCAGCAGUAAGAACUUCACACUUGUUCAAUAUCAAAUAUCAAGCUGUAAGUUCCCGUUUUGGAUAUGAAAUUACUGAGAUUUAUUAGUUCCUUACUUGAAGUUAAUUUAUACCUCCUGAUAUGGUGAUUGAUGAUGAAAGGUAUAUGUUAUAUGCGAGGCAGGCAGGUUGGGCAUUUGUGUACUCAAUGGCUUUGGCUAACUUCAACUAACUUUACUCAAUGGCAUUUAGUUGUUUUGUUUUGUAUAUAAAAUGUCUAUUGUUUUGUUUUGCAAAUCUGAUAAAUUAUAUGGCCAUUUACUUAUCUUUAUUAAAUGUUUUAAAUUUUAAUUGUUUGAUUUGGUGUAAACAAGGUAGAA